AUUGAACGCUGGCGGCAUGCCUUACACAUGCAAGUCGAACGGCAGCACGGGAGCAAUCCUGGUGGCGAGUGGCGAACGGGUGAGUAAUACAUCGGAACGUGCCCAGUAGUGGGGGAUAACCCGGCGAAAGCCGGACUAAUACCGCAUACGACCUACGGGUGAAAGCGGGGAUCGCAAGACCUCGCGCUAUCGGAGCGGCCGAUGUCAGAUUAGCUAGUUGGUGGGGAAAAGCCCACCAAGGCGACGAUCUGUAGCUGGUCUGAGAGGACGACCAGCCACACUGGGACUGAGACACGGCCCAGACUCCUACGGGAGGCAGCAGUGGGGAAUUUUGGACAAUGGGCGCAAGCCUGAUCCAGCCAUUCCGCGUGCAGGAUGAAGGCCCUCGGGUUGUAAACUGCUUUUGUACGGAACGAAAAGGCGCCUUCUAAUACAGGGCGCUGAUGACGGUACCGUAAGAAUAAGC
RNAcentral lists this ribosomal RNA (466 nucleotides) under uncultured bacterium. Its description in RNAcentral is "bacterial SSU rRNA". It matches the Rfam family "Bacterial small subunit ribosomal RNA", at positions 29 to 491 of the family's 1533-position model. The record is from RNAcentral.